UGGGGAAUCAUGGUCAAUGGGCGAAAGCCUGAACCUGCGACGCCGCGUGAGUGAUGAAGGUCGUAAGAUCGUAAAACUCUUUUCAGGGAUCUUAAAGCACAACCGUCAACAACGGCUGUGUGUGACUCUCCCUGGAAGAAGCCCCAGCCAACUACGUGCCAGCAGCUGCGGUAAUACGUAGGGGGCGAGCGUUAUUCGGAAUUACUGGGUGUAAAGGGUAUGUAGGCGGCCCUUCAAGUCGCGUGUCAAAGUCCAGUGCUCAACGCUGGGUGUGCGCGCGAUACUGACGGGCUGGAGGGCUGGAGAGGUGAGCGGAAUUCCCGAUGUAGUGGUAAAAUACGUAGAGAUCGGGAGGAACACCAGCGGCACAGGCGGCUCACUAGACAGUUUCUGACGUUAAGAUACGAAAGCGUGGGGAGCAAACG
Molecule: ribosomal RNA, 425 nt
Filed under: uncultured prokaryote
Description: bacterial SSU rRNA
Rfam family: Bacterial small subunit ribosomal RNA
Source: RNAcentral